UUUUUGUAGUCCAGAUCUGACACUGGACUGCUGUGAACAGGUUAUGCUGCUGCUUCUUUUCCAAAGCAGUAAUCUUGCUACUCCUUUAAAUUUACCAGGCUGUUUGGUGCAGAUGUGUCAGUGCUGCAAGUAUGGCAAACCUGGGGCACAGCUGCAGCUUGGUCAGUCAUUUUGCAUGUGAGGAAAGUCAGGAAUAAACAAUUGAGCAUAAAGUCUCA
Molecule: long non-coding RNA, 218 nt
Filed under: Cyanistes caeruleus (blue tit)
Lineage: Eukaryota; Metazoa; Chordata; Aves; Passeriformes; Paridae
Description: lncRNA (ENSCCEG00000023382.1)
Source: RNAcentral